This 577-nucleotide ribosomal RNA is filed under the name uncultured bacterium. RNAcentral's name for it is "bacterial SSU rRNA". It matches the Rfam family "Bacterial small subunit ribosomal RNA", at positions 43 to 612 of the family's 1533-position model. The record is from RNAcentral.
GAUGCUUUACACAUGCAGUCGAACGCGAAAGUGGGGGCACCCUGCGAGUAGAGUGGCGAACGGGUGAGUACACAUCGGAACGUACCCAGGAGUGGGGGACAACCUCGAGAAAUCGAGGCUAAUACCGCAUACGUCCUGAGGGAGAAAGCGGGGGAUCUGCAAGGACCUCGCGCUCAUGGAGCGGCCGAUGUCGGAUUAGCUAGUUGGCGGGGUAAGAGCCCACCAAGGCUACGAUCCGUAGCUGGUUUGAGAGAACGACCAGCCACACUGGGACUGAGACACGGCCCAGACUCCUACGGGAGGCAGCAGUGGGGAAUUUUGGACAAUGGGGGCAACCCUGAUCCAGCCAUGCCGCGUGAGUGAAGAAGGCCUUCGGGUUGUAAAGCUCUUUCGGCCGGAACGAAAUCGGGGACGUGAAUACGUUUCUGGAUGACGGUACUGGAAGAAGAAGCACCGGCUAACUACGUGCCAGCAGCCGCGGUAAUACGUAGGGUGCGAGCGUAAUCGGAAUUACUGGGCGUAAGCGUGCGCAGGCAGGUUCUUGCAAGUCAGAUGUGAAAAUCCCCGGGGCUUUAAA